Neogobius melanostomus (round goby) is the source of this 125-nucleotide small nucleolar RNA. Its record names the gene SNORD22. It matches the Rfam family "Small nucleolar RNA SNORD22". From Rfam's summary of the family: U22 is a member of the C/D class of snoRNA which contain the C (UGAUGA) and D (CUGA) box motifs. U22 is encoded within the U22 snoRNA host gene (UHG) in mammals and has also been identified in Xenopus. U22 is thought to as a 2'-O-ribose methylation guide for ribosomal RNA. Lineage: Eukaryota; Metazoa; Chordata; Actinopteri; Gobiiformes; Gobiidae. The record is from Ensembl.
CUGUGCUGAUGACACCCGCACACGUCUGACUCCAGGUGUCAGUGCCAGACCUGAAAAGGUGAACCCACUGGUGCUGCCCUGGGCGAGGGCUGAAGGCUCGUUGGGGUUCCAACAGUCUGAACAGA